ACCCAGCUGGCUCAAUUGGUAGAGCAGGUGACUUUUGACCUUAGAAUCAUGAGUUUACAUCCCAUGUUGGGUG
Molecule: transfer RNA, 73 nt
Filed under: Mustela putorius furo (domestic ferret)
Lineage: Eukaryota; Metazoa; Chordata; Mammalia; Carnivora; Mustelidae
Rfam family: tRNA
About the family: Transfer RNA (tRNA) molecules are approximately 80 nucleotides in length. Their secondary structure includes four short double-helical elements and three loops (D, anti-codon, and T loops). Further hydrogen bonds mediate the characteristic L-shaped molecular structure. tRNAs have two regions of fundamental functional importance: the anti-codon, which is responsible for specific mRNA codon recognition, and the 3' end, to which the tRNAs corresponding amino acid is attached (by aminoacyl-tRNA synthetases). tRNAs cope with the degeneracy of the genetic code in two manners: having more than one tRNA (with a specific anti-codon) for a particular amino acid; and 'wobble' base-pairing, i.e. permitting non-standard base-pairing at the 3rd anti-codon position.
Source: Rfam by way of RNAcentral